GCGCUCACUAUCUGGCUGCGGCAUCAGUCACCCCAUUGAUCACCAAGGUUGAUUCAGCUGAUCUGGCUGGAUAGAUAGGUGUCCCCUUCCUCUCUCACAGCUCCCUGUGAGUCCCUCCCAAAGCUAUGACCUUCCCCAAAUAGAGGAGGAUCAAGGGUAUUGGACUAGCUGUGCUCCCCUGCUAGAACCUCUAAACAAGCUCUCAAGGUUUCUAUUUGUAAUGAAGAGUAAGUUCCUCUUUCUUAGAUCUGGCUGUAAAUUGCUUGAAACACCAUUCACAUCAUGUAUAUACUAGCC
Rattus norvegicus (Norway rat) is the source of this 297-nucleotide non-coding RNA. NCBI's taxonomy places the organism in Eukaryota, Metazoa, Chordata, Mammalia, Rodentia, Muridae. The record is from Rfam.